Molecule: long non-coding RNA, 735 nt
Organism: Ostrinia nubilalis (European corn borer)
Lineage: Eukaryota; Metazoa; Arthropoda; Insecta; Lepidoptera; Crambidae
Exons: 2
Source: RefSeq, a predicted model, not a curated record
CUAACUCAAUUCGUAGUUUGAUGAUAAAAUAAGCUGAAGUUUUUCUUGUCAUUGUAAUCAUCAUUAUUCUACGAUUCCUGCGUUUCCUUCCUGUUGACUCGUUCGUUCGUUCACUCGGUCGUUCAUUCACUCAUAAAAUGUUUCGAGUUCGUGUGUGAGGCUUCUUGCGUAGCGCAUAAUUUCGUAUUUUUCAAUUGUUUUCAUUACUACACAAAGGAGAUCGCGUGCUGAUUAUAAUGAGUGGCCAAGUGAAGUGUUGUUUACAUUGUUUAUGAGUGUUCGAAGCGGUCUGUAUAUCGGACAAGGCAGCGAAGAUGUUCUCACACCGCUCGCACACAAAGGCUGCGUCCUUCACAUAUUAGCUAUUACAUCUAGCCAGACCGCCGUCGUUGUUUGAACAACUCGUUAUCUACACGGCGCUGAUAGUGCGAGGUGAUUAUACAAAUGCUAACGAUGCAUCGCAUUCAUGAAAAAUAACUUGAAACUGAUGACAUCUGACGCUAGAAAAAAAAGUGUGGAAGUUAAACCAAGGCUUAGAAUACCUAACUACUUCAAUUUUAAGGCGAAGGCCCUAAGGAAAGAUAUUAAUUUAGUAUCAGACAGAGGACGGAUUAAAAAGAAAUACAAGGAAAAAUUAAAGCUCGUUAAUGACAUCUUAAAAAGUGAACUUCUUAUUAGUGGCAGCGACACAGAAAAGAGUACAAUAUCAACCCUAUCAACAACAAGCAAAUUGCC